GAUUUAAUGCCAUCGCCCCAACGACUUUCUCUCUGCCUUUUCUUGUGAAAACUGUUCAAGGGAAGAUGCUGACCUACCUAGGAAAUGGUUUUAAUCAGUUUUGUUCCGGAAAUAACUAUGGAAAUGCAGAUGCUUCUGGAUGUUGUGUGGUGACAAAUGGCUGAGAAGUCCCCCAGUCCACACCCCUCAGCCUGUAGGGGGAACUGCCCUGAGUGGCAGCCAUUCAGAAUCCUACGGGAAGCUGUGAAGCGUCAUCAGCAUAUGAAAGCACACAGACAUGAUGCUGGUGAAGGAGGCAACAUUGCAAAGCCUACCUCAGUCUUCACAUACCAUACAGACAGCCAUGACCACCUUUAUACAGGAUCCCGCCCUGGGUCCCUGGAUCUCAGAGGCUGGGAAGCAGGGCCCUCAGAAAUGGAGACCAGGGCAGUGUGGAAGACAAGCAAGGACUGUGUGAAUGGCAUCUUAGAGAGAGCCAGGUGACCAGACACUUGUAGCAGCCAUCCAGUAAGCUCGAAAGCAUGGGUUUCACCAAGGGGCCGUACAUUUCUAGGCUGGUGACAGAAUCACGGAGCAUCUCGGUAUUCGGUGACAAGACGACGAAUCACGGGGGCUGGGGGAGGAGGGGCGGGAGCUCGGCAAAUUUCUAAGAACAGUAGCGCAGCCCUGAGAAGAUCUCAAAUGCAUCCCACUUUAGUCAUUCAAGGGCAUCGACUCACAGGUAGGUGGUUCAGGCUCAUCAGUAAUCCUCUCAGAGAGGGGGGAAGUGGUGUGAGAAACACGUGCACCUCGGAGCUUAUAAGAAGCCAAUGGUGUCAAUCACCCAGACCUAGUGCCAUCCCAUUGGCCCCUGUCCACCGACCACGGUCUUUCCAGGGCUAUGCAUUUAUUUGUUUACUUUUACAUUUUGCUUAUCCGUGCGUGGGAGAGAGUCACAGGACAAUCUGUGACUCUGUGGGCCCCCUCUAGGGGCUUUUACUAGCCCAGGACUGUGAGUCAUGUGGCCCAUACCAUUGGACAGAAGAGCUGGGAAGGUUGAGUAGGCUCCUGUGAUCUCAGAAUUGAGAGUGUCUGCGUCUACCUGCUCUGGAACUAUGACACCCACUCCAUGGCAACCAGUCACAAGGCAGAAAAACCUAGACUUCUCCAUGCUAAUGAGGUAAUCUGAUAGGCCCUGAGCGUUCAGCCAAUGAGCUUCCCUUCCUGGGCAUUCUUUCUCACAAAAGGUAUUUAAUUCCUGGUCCACCCUGAGUGGUGUAUAUGCAUUCACAACUGCCAUGUAUAAAGAAGUAUGAACAAGCAAGGGCCCUCUCUUCAUCAAAGAUCGCCUGGAGGGUGGGGCGGGGGGAUGGGGAAGCCUUCACAGUAAACAGAUCUCCUAGAUCUCCCUGAGAAGGCCUUCUCCCUUCCAGCCCCUCUGUACUCUGAGCACUCACUCAGAAUCAAGCCUGGUUCUGCCCCUACCGUUGGCUCAGCCUUCUUCCUGCCUGGCAUGUGGACACCCUGGGAGGAAGCACAGACCAGAGACCCCUGUUUCUAACUCCCUGUGGUUUACCAGCAGUGCCCGGGUACACAAGAGACUGGAAACCACAGCAAUCAUCCCAGACUCCACUGUUUUUCCACUCUGGGAAAACACAGACAGAGAUCCCCCAUUAUGGACUGAGUUCUGCCUCUCCUGAGCAGCCUGCUGGUGGUGCUCCGGGCACUCCAGUGGUGAGGCAGACAGGCAGCCUGGCUUGAAAUUUGUCAGAGGCCCCGUUAAGGAGAUAAUUGGCAUCCUGGAGGUUCAAGUCCUAGAUAGAUCCCAGGCCCUCCUCAUCACUAUUCAUUGAUGUCUGGGGCCUGGCGAUUCAUUGUUAUUGGGCAGAACUGUGGGCUGUGGCCUUAGCUUCAAUUCACUCAUGCUAGUUUUACCAUCACCAAAAACAAACAAACAAACAAACAGCCCCCAAACCGUGUCUAUGCAGUGCCACAUUGUCACAUGUGUCUUGGGAGAGGCAGACAAGCCACAAAGGCAAAUGUUCUCUCACCUCACUUCCUCACAAAAUGCUUUAUUAAGAAGAAAAAAAGGAUAAAUACUGUGAGGAUGGGCCAGCUGUUGUCUUCUGAGAGUUCCGUGGCAAGCCCUUUGCAAGGACCUUGUGGUUUGGUCAUCACAGUUACCAUUUGGGGCAAGGCAUAUUACAUCCAAUGUUACAGAAGAGCAGCUGGGGCUCAACCAAGUUAAAGCCUUUCUCAGUUCCCUGCAUGGUAAACAAUGACAGCUCUUUGGGCUACUCCCAGAGCUGCCCCCACCAGGGUAGUCCCAGGGCUGCCCCCACCACAGUACUCAAAGUGCCUCCCAGAAGACGAACAUCAAACCAUUCGGCUCAUCUCAAACAUGACACUGGAAACCAUGUCUACUUGUGUGCUGGUACAGGAGCAGCAGCAAGCCCAGUCGUGUCCUCCUGUAGGUAUAUGUAUUCAACUGUUCGAGGGCAUGAGAGUCAGAGUACGGACAGUAAAUAUUCCUAGAAGGGUUGACCUACGGCUGACCCAGUUAUUCCAGGUCUCUCUCCAGCUACCCCAAACACAAUAAAACACUGCAAAGCCAAAUUGUGCAGGUACAUAAAUACCCCUCAGAACUUGCUCAAACUUGUCCCAUACCAUGUGUGCGUGGUAUAUCCCUGGAAUCAAGACUAGGGGGUACUUGAAGGGGUUGCAGGAAGGCACCCCACCAAGGCAGAGCAGAAAAAAACUUCUCUUGAAGAUCUAGGUAGAGAGAGGUCAAGAGUUUUGGAGGCAUAGGGCUGAUCUUUUGAAGGAUUUGGACCACCUGAACCCAUCACUCCUGAAGAACUAAAAUCUACAGAGAAGCAAUACAGAUCUCAGAAGUGAGAUCCUGCUCCCCAAGGUAGGAGGAGACAACUAGAUGACUACUACCUUGGCACGGAGUCCUAAAAAAGUAGAAAGGACCAAGAAGUCCCACCAACAUCCCCAGGGUCCCAUGGAAGAAUGAACUUGCAGCAGGAGCUACUGGGUUAAGGCUGACACAGGCAGAAAGACCGUAUCAGGCAUCAUCAUGAACAGAUGGGCCAUCAAGGACCCCUACCCACCCUAGCAAGGUACAGCAACCUAUGACUUAAGCAGUGUUCUGGACAAAAGCGGGAGGUUCUCUGUGGCCAACUGAGCUCUCAGAUGCUCAAAGCUAGAGGUGAGUUAUGCUGAGUAUUUCCAACGAACGCAGCUAAGCUACAGAACUCUCACCCUCCCACUCCACCUGCCGCUUGAGUAUACUGGUUGGGGUGUGUUUCUGCUCAUUUGAGCCACUUGGAACCUAGGAGUAGACAUGAGGUCCCUGCUCAUUGUCAGGGACCCACACUGGGUUGGAAUUUUCCCUGAAUUUGCACUUCUAUUUUUCCCCCUUGUCAGUAAAUUUGCCUAUUGUUAUACUAUUA
Rattus norvegicus (Norway rat) is the source of this 3437-nucleotide non-coding RNA. The record is from RefSeq and is a predicted model, not a curated record. Lineage: Eukaryota; Metazoa; Chordata; Mammalia; Rodentia; Muridae.